CCUGUUUUAAAGAGGAAAAGAUGUCAGAAUACUGAAGAAGAAGACAGAGAGUUACUAUCUGUGAUUGUUGAUCUGGAGAAAAAUGUUUAUACACUGGAGCAGGCAAUUACAUCAGAGACUUUAUCCUCAGUAUUCAAAAACAGAUUAAAAAUGGUCAGCUCUAAAUUGUUGACUUUGAUAGAUAAAACUUAAUAUUUUUCACCAAGAGUUGAAAUGUAGGUGUGUAUUGAGCCUAUAUUGUUCAGCUACGAAAUUGCUAAUUAUUUCUAUGAAUGUGUUUUUACUAAAUUUUUAAUUGCAAUAAAAGUUAAAACA
Molecule: long non-coding RNA, 315 nt
Organism: Mercenaria mercenaria
Lineage: Eukaryota; Metazoa; Mollusca; Bivalvia; Venerida; Veneridae
Exons: 2
Source: RefSeq, a predicted model, not a curated record